AGCUAGAGUAUGAUAGAGGAAAGCAGAAUUUCUAGUGUAGAGGUGAAAUUCGUAGAUAUUAGAAAGAAUACCAAUUGCGAAGGCAGCUUUCUGGAUCAUUACUGACACUGAGGAACGAAAGCAUGGGUAGCGAAGAGGAUUAGAUACCCUCGUAGUCCAUGCCGUAAACGAUGUGUGUUAGACGUUGGAAAUUUAUUUUCAGUGCCGCAGCGAAAGCGAUAAACACACCGCCUGGGGAGUACGACCGCAAGGUUAAAACUCAAAUGAAUUGACGGGGACCCGCACAAGUAGUGGAGCAUGUGGUUUAAUUCGAAGAUACGCGCAGAACCUUACCAACACUUGACAUGUUCGUCGCGACUUUAAGAGAUUAGAGUUUUCGGUUCGGCCGGACGAAACACAGGUGCUGCAUGGCUGUCGUCAGCUCGUGUCGUGAGAUGUUGGGUUAAGUCCCGCAACGAGCGCAACCCCACUUUUAGUUGCCAUCAUUAAGUUGGGCACUCUGAAAGAACUGCCAGUGAUAAGCUGGAGGAAGGUGGGGAUGACGUCAAGUCCUCAUGGCCCUUACGUGUUGGGCUACACACGUGCUACAAUGGUAUCUACAACAGGAAGCAAGACUGCGAGGUCAAGCAAAUCCCUAAAAGAUACCUCAGUUCGGAUUGCACUCUGCAACUCGAGUGCAUGGAGCUGGAAUUACUAGUAAUCGUGGAUCAGCGUGCCACGGUGAAUGCGUUCCCGGGUCUUGUACACACCGCCCGUCACACCAUGGGAGUUGGUUCUACCUUAAGGCAAGGUUUCAAACCCUUGACCACGGUAUAGUCAGCGACUGGGGUGAAGUCGUAACAAGGUAAC
This 849-nucleotide ribosomal RNA is filed under the name uncultured Alphaproteobacteria bacterium. RNAcentral's name for it is "bacterial SSU rRNA". It matches the Rfam family "Bacterial small subunit ribosomal RNA", at positions 639 to 1500 of the family's 1533-position model. Lineage: Bacteria; Pseudomonadati; Pseudomonadota; Alphaproteobacteria. The record is from RNAcentral.